GCAAGUCUAACGGGGUAGCAAUACUCAGUGGCGCACGGGUGAGUAAUACGUAGAUAACCUUCCUUAUAGUGGGGGACAACCUACCGAAAGGUGGGCUAAUACCGCAUGAGACCACAGUGACUGAGGUCACAGGGGUUAAAGAUUUAUCGCUUUAAGAUGGGUCUGCGUCAGAUUAGGUAGUUGGUGGGGUAAUGGCCUACCAAGCCUACGAUCUGUAGCUGGUCUGAGAGGAUGAUCAGCCACACUGGAACUGAGACACGGUCCAGACUCC
This 271-nucleotide ribosomal RNA is filed under the name uncultured bacterium. RNAcentral describes it as "partial 16S ribosomal RNA". It matches the Rfam family "Bacterial small subunit ribosomal RNA", at positions 57 to 339 of the family's 1533-position model. The record is from RNAcentral.